Myotis davidii is the source of this 210-nucleotide long non-coding RNA. RefSeq lists it as uncharacterized. The record is from RefSeq and is a predicted model, not a curated record. The transcript has 4 exons. Lineage: Eukaryota; Metazoa; Chordata; Mammalia; Chiroptera; Vespertilionidae.
AAUUUUAUUCACGAUUGAGGAGAACCAGGAUGGCGACGUAAGGUAUAGACCUCUGCGUGCUGCCUCCCACAACAACAUUGAAACUACCAACUAUAAGGCAAACAGCUAUCAUUCAGAACCAUGGGAAAGCUGGCCCAGUGGAAGUUCUACAACUGGAAGGGAAGAAAGAAGCGCAUUGAGAUUGAGUAAGAUAUGCAGAGGCACCAAGAA